CCCCCCGGGCAAUGGGCAAAGAGACACCUAUGGCAGUGGUGUUCUUAUAUCAGUCAGGGGCAGAGUGGAUGGCAGUUAUUCAUCCUAGAUUAAUGCCUGGUUUGAUGGCCAAAGCUGUUUCAUGCCUAGGGCACAUAA
This is a small nucleolar RNA of Mus musculus (house mouse), 138 nucleotides long. RefSeq annotates it as small nucleolar RNA SNORA48. The transcript has a single exon. The record is from RefSeq and is a predicted model, not a curated record. Lineage: Eukaryota; Metazoa; Chordata; Mammalia; Rodentia; Muridae.